Molecule: long non-coding RNA, 488 nt
Organism: Armigeres subalbatus
Lineage: Eukaryota; Metazoa; Arthropoda; Insecta; Diptera; Culicidae
Exons: 3
Source: RefSeq, a predicted model, not a curated record
UAUUGUUGAUUCCAACAAUCGAUUUAUUAUUGAACCAAAAAGAUUUAAUUGUUGAUUUAACAAUAUUGUAUGUUGAAAACAACAAUAUUAUUUUAAUUUCAACAGUAUUUAUUUUUGAUCCGCGUUUGCGUUUUUGGGAAUAGGCGUGUAUUUUUGAAUGUCAACAUUCUAUAUUUUUUCGCUCAAGUCUUGUCCUAAUAUAAAGUUCUUAAGUGAUCCUAAUUAAAUAAAAAAAAAUAUAUUUAUAGAAAACUCGCUGUGAGGAGAGCUCAGCAACGUUGUGGUGCAUACAUAUGCUUAGAAUGAAACCAGAAAAGGAACUACCGUGUCCGUCUCCAUGUAUUCCCGGCCAAACAGAUCUUGAAAAGACCAGGAUUUUCUGUAGACAACUGCAGCCUCAUAUGCACCAUCAUAAACAACAGCAGAUUGACCAACAUAGAUGAUAAUAUACAUAUAUUCUAAUAAAAUGAUAAAAAUAAACAUUUCCU